RNAcentral lists this ribosomal RNA (373 nucleotides) under uncultured bacterium. Its description in RNAcentral is "bacterial SSU rRNA". It matches the Rfam family "Bacterial small subunit ribosomal RNA", at positions 102 to 507 of the family's 1533-position model. The record is from RNAcentral.
ACGGGUGACGUAACACGGUGGGAAUUUGUCCUCGGGGUAUGGAAUAACUCAGGAAACUUGAGCUAAUACCAUAUAAUGUCUUCGGACCAAAGAUUUAUCGCCCUGAGAUAAGCCCGCGUAGGAUUAGCUAGUUGGUGGGGUAAAGGCUCACCAAGGCGACGAUCCUUAGCUGGUCUGAGAGGAUGAUCAGCCACACUGGGACUGAGACACGGCCCAGACUCCUACGGGAGGCAGCAGUGGGGGAAUAUUGGACAAUGGGCGAAAGCCUGAUCCAGCAAUGCCGCGUGAGUGAUGAAGGCCUUCGGGUUGUAAAGCUCUUUUACUCGGGACGAUAAUGACGGUACCGAGAGAAUAAGCCCCGGCUAACUCCGUG